RNAcentral lists this long non-coding RNA (2919 nucleotides) under Salvia miltiorrhiza (redroot sage). RNAcentral's name for it is "long non-coding RNA (SMIL_LNC001023)". Lineage: Eukaryota; Viridiplantae; Streptophyta; Magnoliopsida; Lamiales; Lamiaceae. The record is from RNAcentral.
CCAGAAUCUUCGUCUUUUCUCGAUUUUUAGGCUCGAUUCUCUCAAAACUCUUCUCUUCAACAUGUUCCUUACACUUCAUGCUCCAAUAUCACUCAAUUCUGCAUCCAAACAGUCAAAACUACACCCAACCGUGAAAUCUCGAAAUAAUAGUAAAUGAACUUCAAACAAUAAUGAAACGGCUGUAAAAUCGACUUAAACUACAAAAUAUAAACCAUAAAAACCAUGCAAAAUGAGUGUUUAUCACACCGAUACAAGUCGGCGCAGACUAGACUAGAGGAAACCUGAUUCCAAGCACAACUACGAAAAUUCAAAGCUCUCUUUUCGUAGACUAGGGGGGAGUAGCUGAUGAGGAGUGAGGAUCCCAUCAGUCAUCCUAUCCUAAGCAAAGACAGCGGCGUCGACUUAGGGCCUUGAACAUACGCGACUUAAGAAGCAUGGAUACAUCACACGAUCGUCGAAAUAAUAUAGCGGCGCCGGCUAAUGUCGGCGCAGAUUAAGAAAGAAGCUGGUUUAAACUCCAGGCCCACUUGGCUCGAAAGAAGCAAGGUCAUAUCAUACAAAAUAAAGAUAGCGGCGCUGACGAAUGUCUGCGCAGACUAGAGAAGACAGCGCAGCAUUAAAGCAACAUCCGGAGAAGACCCAGGGAAAGAAAUAAGCUCGGAAAAUUCAGCGCAGAAAAGGAAUGGAAAUAACCAACAGUGAAAGCUUGGAAAGAGCACGUGUUCAACGAAAAGCUGCAAAGUAGUUAGAGAGUUUGUUAGAGGAAAGAGAAUCGUUCACGUACGCCGCAUGUGGAGUACGUAAACGACGUGUAAAGACCCUUAUACCCUUCGCCCUAAUGUAAUCCUAUAAAUAUACCUUGUAACUCAUUAUAUAGAACACGCAAUUUUACUCUAAGAAUUCUCAUCUGCAAGUUUUCAAGCAAGCUCCCUUUCAUACUGCGAUACAGGUUACUCCGACCUCCUUUUCUGGCUUGUUUAGAUAGGUUUGAAUGUUAGGCUUCACCAGCUAUCACCCAAGAUACAGAGUACUCAAGUUACUAUAUAACUCUCACUCAUAGUAAAUCAAAGUGAUACACGAAUUAACAUAUAUAUUCGAAAUCUUAUUAGUAUUAAGAUUUUAUUAAGUCACCGAGAUCUUGAUUCUUCACUUAAGUCAGAUAGAAUAAUACAUCUCACUGUGGUCCUAUCAAUACGUUAUGAUGUACCAGUAUAGACAAGUAGUCAAGACAAACUACUUCCAUCUAUACCGUAGCCGAAACCGAUGACUCGUCCUAAAGUCAUCUCGGCUGUGAUCAUAUUAUAUCUCUUAAGGUUAAUCCAAUUAUAUGGUCUUCUGUGAUCUACAACAUACUAUAUAGUCUACUUGUAUAGAGAUAGAGAACAUACAUAUGCAAUCAUGAACACAAUCAGAUAGGAGAUUGGAUAGUGAACUUAGGAAACAUUGUAUACAAGCAUAAAACGUUCUUGCUUUCAGUAUACAAAUCCAACACUCACGUGCUUCUAUAACUAAGAUCAUGUAUGAGAAACUUUAGUUCUGCGAGGUACCUGAAUCAUCACUAUUUAGUGGGUUUCCCAUGUUGUAAUAUAGCAUGUAUCACACUUGUUCAAGUGUUUUCCCAAAAUAUGCUUAUCAUGUGCUACAAAAAUUCUUAAGCACAAAUAUUAGUAACAUAGGAGAGCCCUUAAAGGCAGGGCCGUAAAUCAUAAAUCAUGUGGGUAAUGAACCCACAAUAGUUAAAGGUCCACUUACAUGCAGCAUGCGGUUCAACUAUCAAAGCAAUUAAUGAGCAGUUCCAUAUCAUUUAUUAAUAUAUGCAUUUGAUCAUGUUCACAUGUCUUGAAAAGAAAUAAAUAAUGCUAAAUUUCGACAAGCAAUAAUCAUUACCCUUAUUUAUUGAGGUUGCACUUAUAGAGCACUUAGUUCGUCUUCUGCUUUAUCGAGAAGUAUGAGCAAUUGUAAAUCAACAUAAUCAUCUUCUGCUUUAUCGAGAAUCCAAUCUAAUUAACUUCUACUUCGCAAAUUCCUCCCAACGAAACCCAAGAAUCCCAAAUCCCUCCAGUAAUUCACCACAACUAAACCAAAUUCUAUAAACAAGCAUGCAUGUUUGGCACAAUGCCCCCUAGUUUCAGAGUCAAGAAAGGCCAGCCAUACCUGGUAAUAAUAGAUGUGGACUCAUCCCGUUGAGGAUCACGUUUGGUAGCUGAUCAAGCGCUGCCGACAAAGGCAGCAGCUACACGCUAGUGAGUGGUGAGACACAGAUUUGUUCUUUAUCAUUUCCGCUGUCGUAAAUAAUGUCAUCUUCUGAUUUUGAUCUUCGGAGACUAUUUCACCGAUUCUGGUAAUGGCGCCGAUAACAUUGCCUGGUUAGGAUUCCAAUGUUGUUACCUUUCCAUCCAAAAAAAGAAAAAGAAAAUCAGAGCCUCAAAUUGGUAGAGAAAAUCACAAAAAUGAAUUUGAAUUUGAGGAAUUGAAAACAGGGGCAGAGCGGCGGCCGAGUUGGUGGAUUUCUCCCUUUCCGAAUGAGUAAUAUACGAUAGAUAUGCGCCGCUUUUCAGAAGAGGGCGGAGAUUCUUUUGGAGAGCAGUGGUGGAAACUGAUUUCCGGCGGAGAAUAUAGAGAGACGAGCGAGGGGCUUCGCAGAGCAGGAUCUGUAGAUUUUGGGAUUUUCACUGGUUUCUAUGGAGAUAGUGGUCGGGCGUUUCUUGUAUGAGAAUAGAGAAAGAACUUCUGAAAAUUUUCUUGUAUGAGCGAAUUGAGAGAACUUCAUCGAUUUUUGGGGGAAAUCGCUGGAAAUUGAAGAGAAAGAAAGAGAACAGGGAUGGAAGUCGUUGCACGGCGAUUGAACAGGAUGAUAAACUUGGACCUUCAGAGAUUUUUUUUUCAGUCGAACUAUGAGAGAUGAGGGUGGGCGUGAGG